Macaca mulatta (Rhesus monkey) is the source of this 3980-nucleotide long non-coding RNA. NCBI's taxonomy places the organism in Eukaryota, Metazoa, Chordata, Mammalia, Primates, Cercopithecidae. The record is from Ensembl.
CUCAACUUUAAAGGCACCUUAUUUAACUUGCUUUUAAAAAUAGUGCACUAAGUUUUCAUGUGUUUUACUUGGCAGACACACUGACUUGGGGGUUGGUCUUUCGCCUGGUUUAGCGUCAGUGCAACACCUUUUGUUGAUGGAUGGAGGGAGGAAGUAUGCUAAAACGAGACAGUGAUGCGUGUAGAAAAGCUUGUGUCUCAUUCAAAGAAUAAUGAGACAUCUAGAGGGGAAAGGAGAGGUCAGAAGCAGGGUUUCUGCUAAAGAGAAAAAGGGCUGUAUUGCCAGGGCUGAAUUCACAUCAUCUUUGGAACAAGUGUCAAUGUUAGAACUUAUGACACUUCUUUCUUUGGGAGCUGAAUAGGAGCCUAGACAUGCUAGGUCUUUAAGGACACAUUUAGAGGCUUCUGGGUUCACCUUCAACACCAGUCCCAGUUACCAGUUCACUAUUCCUUAGACCUUAAGGUGAACUCCACUGAUGAGUAGGCAUAUUUACAUUGGAAGACUGUAUGACUCUCCACCCUUUGCCCUGAAGUUUAGAGGGACUGUGCCAAGCACUGUGGUAAAUAGGAGAUUGGGGGGUUGUCAGCUUUCUGGCGUUGUUAUUGCUAAGGAAGGACGUCAAGAGAAAAUAGAGAAGGGAGACAAGGACAGAACCUUGGAGCACUAGGAGAACUAUAUUAGUUUAGUUUGUAAAUGUGCAAACUGAAUCUUUUAUGAUCUGACAUUCCUGUCCCUCAUGCCUCUGUUCAGACUCUUUCCUGUCUUUGGAUUUCCUUCAGCCAUUUCCAGGGGUCUACCUCAGAUGGAAGUAAUCUUUCUCAACGUGAUAUCUGCUCCUCUUUCGUGGUACUGAUCAAUCUGCACUUCUUGCUAUAGGUAUUUGCACACCCAUGUACUUAUAUGUUUGAAGAUCUGUUUUGUGAGUUAGAAACUCAGCUUCCUACCGUUGUGGUCCAGAUCCUCAGGGAGCGUCCUGAAGAUGAUGGUGAUGGUAACAGUGAGGAGGCAGAUGAUGAAGAUGAUGACGAUAAUGGCAGUACAUCGGAGCACAGCAAGGCCAUUUUUACGUCAUCUCCUGAUCCAAGUUCAACAAAAGCCUCACCACUCUGCCCACCCCUCUCUGGUGUGGAUGAAAUUCGCCUGCAGCCCGGCAUGGUGCAGUUGGAGAGGACGUCCUGCGCAUCCUCAACAGAGCAGGGCCAGGGCGCGCCACGCAGCCUGACCACAAAGCCCUCCCCUCCCUCAGGGCUCAGCAGCAUGGACUCUUGAUGGGGUAGGUGUCAGGUGAGUGGGGUGUGGCUUUUUUUGUGGCACGGAGUCGGGCAGAACUGGUUUCUGUUGCUAUCAAGCAAGCGUGGCUGGCAGCCGAGGGCCCCCAAAUUCCAACGAAGCGCGACCACGCAGAGGGCUCCCGGGAAUGUCCAGGUGCCUCUUUUUGUUCUCAACCUGCAUCAGAAGUCCACGUGGACUGGGACGGUUGCCUUCCCUGAGGUCUGAAGGCCCCAGCCUGAUGCAGGUGUUUGGCUGAAAGCAGGGAACCCAGGCCUUUGGACCAGGUGACCAUGUUCUCACGGCCUCCUCCCGGCACUCCAGCAGCCUCAGAGGUUAUCCGUAUUACUUUUAUGUAUGAAAAAUGGAGGCCCAGAGAGAUUGUUACUGUUAGAACUGUUUGUGGUAUAGACAGAAAACUAAAUUCCAACAAUAAAGGGAAUUGAUUGGUUCACAUAACUGAAGCGUAUAGAGGUCUAUUAGCUUCAGGUGUUGUUUGAACCAGUUGUUCACUGCCCAGCAGUAUAACCAACAUUCUGUUUCUUUCCCCAUUCUGCUUUCCUCAGUAUUCUUUCACUGCCUGGCAAUCUCAUCUCUAUCCUAGUGGUCACACGUGGCUGCAUUAUCAUUGAUCUAUCAUCAAUCUAUCAUUGAUAGGAUCUACAACAGGCAGAGGAAUCUUUUCUUUGCCAGAAGCCCUUUGCAAGCGUGUUUCAAAUCCCUUUGCUCUGAUUGGGUUUCAUGACUGCCCUUGAACUAACUUCUGUAGCCAGGCGGAUGGGAUAGAAACAAUGGCUUUAAGACAAUCAGGCCCAACUCCUAGAGUCUGGGGUCAGGUGAACAACCAUAAUAUCAUAUAGGUUAGAAUGGAGAAAAGUGGUUUCCCAGAUUUUUUUUUGGGGGGGGUUCCAAUGGUGGGAGAAUAAAGAAAUGGAUACUGGGAAGACUGACAGCAGGUGUCCAAGGGCAAUGUCUUAUCCAAGGUCAAGCCGCUGGUCAUGGCUAAGCUGUGACUGAAAUCCAGCUCUCCUUACUCAACGUUUGCAGAUGGGUGGUUAUAUAAUUCCAUUUAAGGUACAUGUUUCACAAUAGCCAUCCAAACAGAACCAUGGAUUUGCUUGCUUACAUUGUUUGUUCUUCAACUAUGAUUAAAAAUAUGUACUAAAACACACUUUGCCAUUUAGUCACAGUGAUGAAGACAAUUGUCUGAGUUAACUCAUUCUGUAUCUUAUUAAAGCAUGAAGGAUUUCAGGAGAAAUUAAGAUUUUAGAGAAUGAGAACUAUCAUUUAAAUAAGUGUCCUCCAGUCUUACUAGGGUCUUGGCAGUGUUCUGGAAUGUUUUUCAGAAGAGGAAUCAAUUUUUUUGAUAACCUAUAUGAGAUGCCUCCAGCCCGGAUUUUCAUCUCUGUGAUCAAAAGAUUUGUUAAUGUCCUAUAUUGAGAUCCCUUUCUCUUACUCAGGAAUUAUGGAGGCAGAGAAACAGAAAAGAAGGCACAGCCCUCGAGGAACUCUAUGUUUGGUGGGAGAGGCAGAUAACAAAGCAGGUAGGUGAAAUACCAUGACAGUGAGUGAGUGGGUGGGAAAAUCAAGUGCCUUGAGAACACAGAGGAAGGCAGAAUGUUGGGAUCAGGGAAGAGCCAGGGAAGGCUUUCUCAAGUGAGCUGGAUGGGAGCAGGGAGGGGUUCUAUGGAGGGGGCUCAUGAGUAUUUAGGCAUGAAACCUCAUAGAUUAUGUGAAACCCCAAAUCAUUCAGAAGGGCAGAGAUGUAAGGGCAAGGUAAGGAGUAGGGCGAGAAGGUGCAGACAGGCAGCCUGGAACAGAGUAAUGGAGGGUCUUGGGGCUUGUAUUACGGAGCUUGGUGUCUUUCCUGUAGGUGAUGGAAUGCUUCUAAUGAAUUUUCAGUAAAGACAUGGUUUGUGUCUUGGACACAUUUCUAUAUCAGAUUCUUUGGUUGAAGAUAAUUCUAAUUAAGUUCCUACAGGGGAGUGCACUGGAGAUAUAUGGGAUCCUUCAGAAAACCCAAUAAAAAUCUGAAGAACCCAGGCUCUUAAGGAAUUUCCCAGGACCUACAUAGCAGGAAUCAACUGCAAGUCCCCUCGGUCAGGAAGUAUCAGGGCCAACUGCCCCUAGCGUUAUUCCACCUAGGAUUCAAAUUCCUAAUGAAAGAUGUCAUAGUGCUCCAGCUUGGGGGCACACCUGGCCUGGGCCAGGUAAAGUCAUCAUCUUCACUGGCAGUCCCCCUAAGUCCGUAUCUCAUGGAGUGAGUUCCUGAAGGAAAAUCAGCGUGAUGUUACCCUAAGAAAGAGCUACGCUGGCUGAAGUAAUGGGUGUCCACUUCAACAGCUGUGUGGAAACUAGAUCCGAAAGGCACUAAAGACGAUGGGAAUUAAAAGUCAAAAGACGGUGGAGCUAUGGACCAGGGCUGUGGUAAUAUUGUGGGAUUUACAAACAUUUAUGAGAUAAAAAUUGGUGAUUGAUUUUGGCAGAAGGAAGAGGGCAGAAUCAAGGAUUAUUCCCAGGUCCUAGAAUGUGGUAGUAGAUAUUACUACUGGAGAGAAGAUAGAAGAUGGGGAAGGGGAGAUGACAAAUUGCUUAUGACAUGCCAAGUUUGAGAACUCUGUGGGACAUCAGGUGGAGGCUAGAAUUUGAAGCAUAGUAACUGAACUGAACUCAUAGGUAUGGACAAUAUAACUUAGGAAGGAUUCUGGAAG